RNAcentral lists this ribosomal RNA (899 nucleotides) under Achaetomium luteum. RNAcentral's name for it is "LSU rRNA". It matches the Rfam family "Eukaryotic large subunit ribosomal RNA", at positions 35 to 968 of the family's 3401-position model. Lineage: Eukaryota; Fungi; Ascomycota; Sordariomycetes; Sordariales; Chaetomiaceae. The record is from RNAcentral.
UAAGCAUAUCAAUAAGCGGAGGAAAAGAAACCAACAGGGAUUGCCCUAGUAACGGCGAGUGAAGCGGCAACAGCUCAAAUUUGAAAUCUGGCUUCGGCCCGAGUUGUAAUUUGCAGAGGAAGCUUUAGGCGCGGCACCUUCUGAGUCCCCUGGAACGGGGCGCCACAGAGGGUGAGAGCCCCGUAUAGUUGGAUGCCUAGCCUGUGUAAAGCUCCUUCGACGAGUCGAGUAGUUUGGGAAUGCUGCUCAAAAUGGGAGGUAAAUUUCUUCUAAAGCUAAAUACCGGCCAGAGACCGAUAGCGCACAAGUAGAGUGAUCGAAAGAUGAAAAGCACUUUGAAAAGAGGGUUAAAUAGCACGUGAAAUUGUUGAAAGGGAAGCGCUUGUGACCAGACUUGCGCCGGGCGGAUCAUCCGGUGUUCUCACCGGUGCACUCCGCCCGGCUCAGGCCAGCAUCGGUUCUCGCGGGGGGAUAAAGGCCCAGGGAACGUAGCUCCUCCGGGAGUGUUAUAGCCCGGGGCGUAAUGCCCUCGCGGGGACCGAGGACCGCGCUCUGCAAGGAUGCUGGCGUAAUGGUCACCAGCGACCCGUCUUGAAACACGGACCAAGGAGUCAAGGUUUUGCGCGAGUGUUUGGGUGUAAAACCCGCACGCGUAAUGAAAGUGAACGUAGGUGAGAGCUUCGGCGCAUCAUCGACCGAUCCUGAUGUAUUCGGAUGGAUUUGAGUAGGAGCGUUAAGCCUUGGACCCGAAAGAUGGUGAACUAUGCUUGGAUAGGGUGAAGCCAGAGGAAACUCUGGUGGAGGCUCGCAGCGGUUCUGACGUGCAAAUCGAUCGUCAAAUCUGAGCAUGGGGGCGAAAGACUAAUCGAACCAUCUAGUAGCUGGUUACCGCCGAAGUU